CCUACGGGGGGCUGCAGUGGGGAAUUUUUCGCAAUGGGCGCAAGCCUGACGACGCAACGCCGCGUGGAGGAUGAAGGUCUUCGGAUUGUAAACUCCUGUUGAUCGGGACGAAAAGCUUCAACCUAAUACGUUGAAGACUGACGGUACCGGUUGAGGAAGCCACGGCUAACUCUGUGCCAGCAGCCGCGGUAAUACAGAGGUGGCAAGCGUUGUUCGGAAUUACUGGGCGUAAAGGGCGCGUAGGCGGCCUUCUAAGUCGGACGUGAAAGCCCCAGGCUUAACCUGGGAACUGCGUCUGAUACUGGGAGGCUUGGAUUCGGGAGAGGGAUGUGGAAUUCCAGGUGUAGCGGUGAAAUGCGUAGAUAUCUGGAGGAACACCGGUGGCGAAGGCGGCAUCCUGGACCGAGAUCGACGCUGAGGCGCGAAAGCUAGGGGAGCAAACGGGAUUAGAUACCCCGGUAGUC
RNAcentral lists this ribosomal RNA (464 nucleotides) under uncultured Acidobacteriota bacterium. Its description in RNAcentral is "bacterial SSU rRNA". It matches the Rfam family "Bacterial small subunit ribosomal RNA", at positions 338 to 795 of the family's 1533-position model. The record is from RNAcentral. Lineage: Bacteria; Pseudomonadati; Acidobacteriota.